GUUGUCAAAGUGGCUGUGACAUG
RNAcentral lists this microRNA (23 nucleotides) under Parasteatoda tepidariorum (common house spider). RNAcentral's name for it is "pte-miR-2b-5p". Its record names the gene pte-miR-2b-5p. Lineage: Eukaryota; Metazoa; Arthropoda; Arachnida; Araneae; Theridiidae. The record is from miRBase by way of RNAcentral.